CAGAAGUGUUGAAACUCUGUAGAAUUCAGGGGAAGUCUGGGCUGGGUCAGAGCCUGUGUAUUUAUCCCUCUGGGAGUUUCCAGCUUUGUGUGGGCUCAAUGUCAACAAUUUUUAUCCGAGAAACUCUAGAGCUGGUCAAGGGCCAAAGUUCUCUUUACCCAGCCCAGGUUAUUGGCAAGAAAACUCAAAGCUUACGUUUUUAUGAAAGAAAGAGAUUUGAUUGUCAGGAGAGGAGAAGGCCAACGUUUGUCUGAUGCCAGGGCCUCUGCAUGUUUAUUGCCGUUAAUACUUGAAACGUUCAAAGCACAAAGGAAACUGGCCAUUCAGGAGACUCCUGUAAUGAUUUGAAGUUUGAAGACCCUGGUCUGUGUUUGCUUGUCUGCCUACUAUGUGUCAGACACGGAGACUAUGAAAUUCAACGGAGAAGUGAUAGAAUUGAUUUAAAAAUGCAAUGAAUGCAUAGUCAUAAACCAUGGAUGGAGGCAGCAUCCACCAAAGUCAGCUCCUCCCACUGGCAAGAAACUCAGCAGAACCUGCACAUGCCCUUUGAAGAAGAAACCUUGAUCAGUCCCCCAGGUGUGAGGCUAAUAGCUGACCCACUUCUGUCAGGAAAUUGCUUGAUCGUGGGCGUCUGCAAACAGUGAGAUGAGGCUACGUGACCAUUGCUCAGAGCCUCCAUCCCCCUUCUCGUUCCUGCUGCCACCAGAUGGUCCUGAGAUAAUGCCACGUCUUUCCUGCAAGAAACAACAUUCCUGAUCCAUUCUGCCAAUCCCCACUGAUCGUCUUGGGAAUGCGAUUCCUCAGCCUCUCCCCUCUUGUCAUCGUUUCCCCUGUCUUAUCUUCAGAGGGCUGGGGGACCUGAGCUGGUCUCUUUCCAAGGAGAAUCAAUCAUCUCAUGUCAGGCGCUCAGGGGGCUCACGUAGCUGAUAUAAACGUGCAGUCUGGGAGUUCCGGCUUGCCCAUGGGGCCUUACAAUGUGUGUGUGACUACGCUAUAGUUCUCAAAAUUAUUUAUGAUACCAAUCUUACUCCUUCUAUCUUGAGAUUCAUGUUCUUUAGUCAAACAAAUCAAACAAGUGGAGUUCUUGCCUCUCACAAUUCCCCUGGGAGACUAAAAACAAGAUGAUGUUAGCUCAUAAACCUGGCUUCCAGCCAAGCUUUGAUCUCUGAUCCCAGCCCUUCCCUUGGUCCACAGCAUGAUUCUAGCCACAGUUAGACAACAUCUCUUUCUAGCUCUGCUGAUGACAGAAGAAGCAAGGAGUGGAGAUUAUUGAAUCAAUAGUUACUGUUCCUGGAUAUUAAUUAGUAAGAGGGAGAAUAAGACCUCAGAGAUGAGAUCAUUGUUAGCUGGAAGAAAAAGCUGGCAGAAAUAGAUGGCACUAUUAUCCUAUAUCAUUCAUCUUUUGAAGUGUGAAACUGAUGGCUGACAUGCAAAGGCCCGAGGGUUUCAAACCCAGAAACUAUGGAAGAUCCUUUGAAUGCAUGGCUUGACAUAGGCGAAUUUGGGCACUUGUAGCUUUCAUAUUUGAGGUUUCAGUGAUUUUCACGCUACCCUCCAAAGGCCAUAUUAUACCACUGUUUAAAAUUUUUGCCAAGGCACAAAUUCGGAUUACACUAUGAAAAGCAAGUCAUCUAGCAAAUGAAU
This is a long non-coding RNA of Bos indicus x Bos taurus (hybrid cattle), 1644 nucleotides long. The record is from Ensembl. NCBI's taxonomy places the organism in Eukaryota, Metazoa, Chordata, Mammalia, Artiodactyla, Bovidae.